GGUAAAAUGGCCGAGUGCUCAGGCGGUGGGCCGUAGCCCCACCGACAGGGGUUUAAUUCCUCUUUUUAUCA
Molecule: transfer RNA, 71 nt
Filed under: Liolaemus silvai
Lineage: Eukaryota; Metazoa; Chordata; Lepidosauria; Squamata
Description: tRNA-Tyr
Rfam family: tRNA
About the family: Transfer RNA (tRNA) molecules are approximately 80 nucleotides in length. Their secondary structure includes four short double-helical elements and three loops (D, anti-codon, and T loops). Further hydrogen bonds mediate the characteristic L-shaped molecular structure. tRNAs have two regions of fundamental functional importance: the anti-codon, which is responsible for specific mRNA codon recognition, and the 3' end, to which the tRNAs corresponding amino acid is attached (by aminoacyl-tRNA synthetases). tRNAs cope with the degeneracy of the genetic code in two manners: having more than one tRNA (with a specific anti-codon) for a particular amino acid; and 'wobble' base-pairing, i.e. permitting non-standard base-pairing at the 3rd anti-codon position.
Source: RNAcentral